Molecule: ribosomal RNA, 460 nt
Filed under: uncultured bacterium
Lineage: Bacteria
Description: partial 16S ribosomal RNA
Rfam family: Bacterial small subunit ribosomal RNA
Source: RNAcentral
CUACGGGCGGCUGCAGUGAGGAAUAUUGGUCAAUGGAGGCAACUCUGAACCAGCCAUCCCGCGUGAAGGAUUGAAGGCGCUCGACGUCGUAAACUUCUUUUAUAUAGGAAUAAACUUGGGUACGUGUACCUAACUGAAUGUACUAUAUGAAUAAGCAUCGGCUAACUCCGUGCCAGCAGCCGCGGUAAUACGGAGGAUGCAAGCGUUAUCCGGAUUUAUUGGGUUUAAAGGGUCCGCAGGCGGAUUGGUCAGUCAGUGGUGAAAUCCCAUCGCUUAACGAUGGAACUGCCAUUGAUACUGCCAGUCUUGAGUCUAGUUGACGUAGGCGGAAUAUGACAUGUAGCGGUGAAAUGCAUAGAUAUGUCAUAGAACACCGAUUGCGAAGGCAGCUUACGAAACUACGACUGACGCUCAUGGACGAAAGCGUGGGUAGCGAACAGGAUUAGAUACCCUGGUAGUC